Molecule: ribosomal RNA, 675 nt
Filed under: uncultured Lactobacillus sp.
Lineage: Bacteria; Bacillati; Bacillota; Bacilli; Lactobacillales; Lactobacillaceae
Description: bacterial SSU rRNA
Rfam family: Bacterial small subunit ribosomal RNA
Source: RNAcentral
UGAACGCUGGCGGCGUGCCUAAUACAUGCAAGUCGAACGAGUUCUCGUUGAUGAUCGGUGCUUGCACCGAGAUUCAACAUAGAACGAGUGGCGGACGGGUGAGUAACACGUGGGUAACCUGCCCUUAAGUGGGGGAUAACAUUUGGAAACAGAUGCUAAUACCGCAUAGAUCCAAGAACCGCAUGGUUCUUGGCUGAAAGAUGGCGUAAGCUAUCGCUUUUGGAUGGACCCGCGGCGUAUUAGCUAGUUGGUGAGGUAAUGGCUCACCAAGGCGACGAUACGUAGCCGAACUGAGAGGUUGAUCGGCCACAUUGGGACUGAGACACGGCCCAAACUCCUACGGGAGGCAGCAGUAGGGAAUCUUCCACAAUGGACGCAAGUCUGAUGGAGCAACGCCGCGUGAGUGAAGAAGGCUUUCGGGUCGUAAAACUCUGUUGUUGGAGAAGAAUGGUCGGCAGAGUAACUGUUGUCGGCGUGACGGUAUCCAACCAGAAAGCCACGGCUAACUACGUGCCAGCAGCCGCGGUAAUACGUAGGUGGCAAGCGUUAUCCGGAUUUAUUGGGCGUAAAGCGAGCGCAGGCGGUUUUUUAAGUCUGAUGUGAAAGCCCUCGGCUCAACCGAGGAAGCGCAUCGGAAACUGGGAAACUUGAGUGCAGAAGAGGACAGUGGAACUC